This 100-nucleotide transfer RNA is filed under the name Xylaria palmicola. RNAcentral describes it as "tRNA-Ser". It matches the Rfam family "tRNA". From Rfam's summary of the family: Transfer RNA (tRNA) molecules are approximately 80 nucleotides in length. Their secondary structure includes four short double-helical elements and three loops (D, anti-codon, and T loops). Further hydrogen bonds mediate the characteristic L-shaped molecular structure. tRNAs have two regions of fundamental functional importance: the anti-codon, which is responsible for specific mRNA codon recognition, and the 3' end, to which the tRNAs corresponding amino acid is attached (by aminoacyl-tRNA synthetases). tRNAs cope with the degeneracy of the genetic code in two manners: having more than one tRNA (with a specific anti-codon) for a particular amino acid; and 'wobble' base-pairing, i.e. permitting non-standard base-pairing at the 3rd anti-codon position. The record is from RNAcentral. Lineage: Eukaryota; Fungi; Ascomycota; Sordariomycetes; Xylariales; Xylariaceae.
GGCAUGUUGCCAGAGUGGUUAAUGGGUGAGACUUGAAUUCGAGUACGGAUUAAGCCAUCUCAUGACUUCGGUCGCGUAGGUUCAAAUCCUGCACAUGUCG